AAUUCUCAACCUCACCUAGUUUCUGACUUGUGUGAUGGCUUGGACUUGGGAGUUGUGCAGGCUGCAGUUCUCUGCGGUUCUGCUCUCCUUAAAUGUAUUAGCAGGUCUUUUACCUCUAUCCCAACAGUGUGAUAAUCUAUCUACGCUGCUGGUUUUGGAGACCCACUUGUGGGGGACUGGCUUCUAACCGUCUGCAAAGACAAACUUGACAU
Molecule: unclassified non-coding RNA, 212 nt
Filed under: Parasola schroeteri
Lineage: Eukaryota; Fungi; Basidiomycota; Agaricomycetes; Agaricales; Psathyrellaceae
Description: partial internal transcribed spacer 2
Source: RNAcentral